UCCAUGGCGGUUCAGGCCAGCUCAGGGAGGU
RNAcentral lists this non-coding RNA (31 nucleotides) under Homo sapiens (human). The record is from RNAcentral. Lineage: Eukaryota; Metazoa; Chordata; Mammalia; Primates; Hominidae.